AGCUACAUGCUACUAUAGCGUGCGCGACGUUGCGUGAUUCAAUUGGGUUCGAUUCCGGAGAGGGAGCCUGAGAUAGUCUACCACAUCCAGGAAGGCAGCAGGCGCGCAAAUUACCCAAUCCCGAACGGGGAGGUAGUGACAAUAAAUAACAAUACCGGGCUCCUCCAGUCUGGUAUUGGAUGAGUACAAUCUAAAUCCCUUAACGAGGAUCCUUGGAGGGCAAGUCUGGUGCCAGCAGCCGCGGUAAUUCCGCUCCAUAGCGUAAUAAAGUUGUUGCAGUUAAAAAGCUCGUAGUUGGACCUUGGGCUGGACGGCCGGUCCGCCCCACGGUGUGCCCGGUUGCCCGUCCCUUCUCUGGGUAUCGUCCUUCCGUAACUGGAAAGGUCGUGCCUCCGCGAAUUAUUUAAAGUUUUAGCUGCUCAAGCCGCACAUCUAGGAGCUUAUAAGGGAGACUCGAUGUUUUUGUCUUUUGUUGGCUUCUGUCUAUAUGACAUAGGGACAUUAGGGGCUUCGCUUUCGAGACUAGUGAAUUCUGAAUUGAACACAACACUGCGAACUUUGCCAGGAUGUUUCAUAAUCAGAAGAAUUGGGGCUCAAACAUAGUACCUCUAGUCUCAACAUAACAUGCUACGACGAUUGCGAUUGCUCUCUGACUCCUCGCGCUCAGGAUCCAAGUCAUUGGGUACAAGG
This 690-nucleotide ribosomal RNA is filed under the name uncultured Scutellospora. RNAcentral's name for it is "partial 18S ribosomal RNA". It matches the Rfam family "Eukaryotic small subunit ribosomal RNA", at positions 331 to 876 of the family's 1831-position model. Lineage: Eukaryota; Fungi; Glomeromycota; Glomeromycetes; Diversisporales; Gigasporaceae. The record is from RNAcentral.